RNAcentral lists this ribosomal RNA (429 nucleotides) under Gemmatimonadota bacterium. RNAcentral's name for it is "Gemmatimonadetes bacterium partial 16S ribosomal RNA". It matches the Rfam family "Bacterial small subunit ribosomal RNA", at positions 355 to 776 of the family's 1533-position model. The record is from RNAcentral. Lineage: Bacteria; Pseudomonadati; Gemmatimonadota.
UAGGGAAUCUUCGGCAAUGGACGAAAGUCUGACCGAGCAACGCCGCGUGAGUGAAGAAGGUUUUCGGAUCGUAAAACUCUGUUGUUAGAGAAGAACAAGGACGUUAGUAACUGAACGUCCCCUGACGGUAUCUAACCAGAAAGCCACGGCUAACUACGUGCCAGCAGCCGCGGUAAUACGUAGGUGGCAAGCGUUGUCCGGAUUUAUUGGGCGUAAAGCGAGCGCAGGCGGUUUCUUAAGUCUGAUGUGAAAGCCCCCGGCUCAACCGGGGAGGGUCAUUGGAAACUGGGAGACUUGGGUGCAGAAGAGGGGAGUGGAAUUCCAUGUGUAGCGGUAAAAUGCGUAGAUAUAUGGAGGAACACCAGUGGCGAAGGCGGCUCUCUGGUCUGUAACUGACGCUGAGGCUCGAAAGCGUGGGGAGCAAACAGG